RNA transcript from Equus caballus (horse), 4221 nucleotides. It is a transcript of the gene named GTP dependent ribosome recycling factor mitochondrial 2, with no coding region annotated. The record is from RefSeq and is a predicted model, not a curated record. NCBI's taxonomy places the organism in Eukaryota, Metazoa, Chordata, Mammalia, Perissodactyla, Equidae.
AGGCGGGGCAGAGCGACAGAGAGCAGUUGUCCUUCUGGCGGGACCCGCGCGCUCGUGCAGGUGGCUUGUGGCGGCCUGAGGCCUUUGCAGAGCCCGGCGCGGCUCGCCUUCCCCCUCUCCACAGCCGGGCGGGGAGAGGCCGGCCCCAGGCUGCAACCGAGCGCCAGAGAAUAACAGUUUGGAGGGCCAAGAUGCUGUCCGGCUCAAGGAUAUUUGCAGUGAAUCAUAAGAAAAUAUCCAGCUUGAACAUUAAUAAUGUGUGUUGCUCUAAAAUAAGAGCAAGUUUAAAAAGAUUAAAGCCACAUGUGCCUCUUGGAAGAAAUUACAGUUCCCUUCCAGGUUUAAUAGGAAAUGAUAUCAAAUCCCUCCGUUCCGUCCUCAGCCCUCCUGCAGCUAAAAUCCGUAAUAUUGGGAUUAUGGCUCAUAUUGAUGCGGGCAAAACUACCACCACAGAAAGAAUAUUGUACUAUUCUGGAUACACAAGAUCACUGGGAGAUGUUGAUGAUGGAGACACAGUGACAGAUUUUAUGGCUCAAGAGAGAGAAAGAGGCAUUACUAUUCAAUCAGCUGCUGUUACAUUUGAUUGGAAGGGAUAUAGACUCAAUCUAAUUGAUACACCAGGUCAUGUGGACUUUACCGUGGAGGUUGAACGCUGUCUAAGAGUGCUGGAUGGUGCAGUGGCUGUAUUUGAUGCCUCUGCAGGUGUAGAGGCACAAACUCUCACAGUAUGGAGGCAAGCUGAUAAACACAAGAUACCUCGAAUCUGUUUUUUAAACAAGAUGGACAAAACUGGAGCAAGUUUUAACUAUGCAGUUGAAAGCAUCAGAGAGAAGUUGAACGCAAAGCCUUUGGUUUUACAGUUACCAAUUGGAGAAGCCAAAACUUUCAAAGGAGUGGUGGAUGUAGUAAGUAAAGAAAAACUUCUUUGGAAUGCCAACUCAGAUGAUGGAAAAGACUUUGAGAGAAAACCCCUCUUGGAAAUGAGUGAUCCUGAACUGCUGAAGAAGACGACUGAAGCAAGGAAUGCCCUGAUCGAACAAGUUGCAGACUUGGAUGAUGAAUUUGCUGACUUGGUUUUAGGAGAAUUUAGUGAAAAUUUUGAUUUGCUACCAGCUGAAAAGCUCCAGACUGCAAUACACAGAGUAACACUGGCUCAGACAGCAGUGCCGGUGCUUUGUGGAAGUGCCCUCAGAAACAAAGGGGUCCAGCCCCUGUUAGAUGCUAUUACCAUGUACUUGCCUUCCCCUGAAGAGCGCAACUAUGAAUUCCUGCAGUGGUAUAAGGGCGACUUAUGUGCACUGGCAUUUAAAGUUCUCCAUGACAAGCAGCGAGGACCACUGGUUUUUAUGCGCAUUUACUCAGGCAUGCUGAAACCCCAGUUGGCUGUCCAUAAUAUUAAUGGAAACUGCACGGAGAGAAUAAGUCGUCUGCUUUUGCCAUUUGCUGACCAGCAUAUAGAAAUCCCUUCACUGACUGCUGGUAACAUUGCUUUGACUGUUGGGCUUAAACAUACUGCCACAGGAGACACCAUUGUCUCAUCCAAGUCCAGUGCAUUGGCUGCAGCUCGUCGAGCUGAAAGGGAGGGAGAAAAGAAGCACAGACGAAACAGUGAAGCAGAGAGACUUUUAUUGGCUGGGGUGGAGAUUCCAGAACCUGUGUUCUUCUGUACCAUAGAACCCCCUUCAAUGGCUAAGCAGCCAGAUUUGGAUCAUGCAUUGAAAUGCCUCCAUCGUGAAGAUCCCAGUUUGAAAGUGAGGCUAGAUCCUGACACUGGACAAUUUUCAGUGAAAGGAUACAUAUUAGAACCAGCCAAAGGAAAAGACACAAAGGGCAAAGUCUGGGAGAUUAUAAAUACUGUCCUAUGUGGAAUGGGGGAGUUACAUAUUGAGAUUAUUCAUGACCGAAUCAAGAGGGAAUAUGGACUGGAAACCUAUCUAGGGCCACUCCAGGUGGCGUACCGAGAGACCAUCCUAAAUUCAGUUCGUGCCACAGAUACCUUAGAUAGAACUUUAGGAGACAAACGGCACCUUGUGACUGUGGAACUGGAAGCAAAGCCAAUUGAAACAGCCUCUGUUAGGCCAGUUAUCGAGUAUGCUGACAGCGUUAGUGAAGACCUUCUGAAGGCCUCCCAGGAGGCCAUUGAAAAUGGAAUCCACAGUGUGUGCCUCCAAGGACCAUUGCUUGGAUCCCCAAUUCAAGAUGUGGCGAUUACUUUACAUUCGCUGAUGAUCCAUCCUGGUACCUCCACAACUAUGAUUUCUGCCUGUGUCUCAAGAUGCCUACAAAAGGCUCUGAAGAAAGCCGACAAGCAAGUUUUAGAGCCCUUGAUGGGUCUUGAGGUUACAGUGACGAAAGAUUACCUCAGCCCUGUCCUGGCAGAUCUGGCACAAAGAAGAGGCAACAUUCAGGAAAUCCAGACUCGUCAGAACAACAAAGUUGUUAUUGGAUUUGUUCCAUUAGCAGAAAUCAUGGGCUAUUCAACUGUGCUUCGAACGCUAACGUCAGGCUCAGCUACUUUUGCCUUAGAACUGGCUAAUUAUCAAGCCAUGAAUCCUCAAGACCAGAGCACACUGCUGAGCCAGAGAAGAGGCUUCACCUAAGGGCUCGAGGUCCUUGGGGAGAAAUUCAGGAGCACUUACCUGCUUUGUUUCAGGCUGAAGAGAUUUGCUGAUGCGCUUGGGAAAUAGCUUACAUACGAGGGAAUUGUGCAAAGUAUGGAGAAACCUGGCAGAUGCUAUCUUAGCCAAGUUAUAAGAGUUAACGUUACCAGUAAUGGAAUAAAUAAAGCAUUGUGCCACCUGACGUGCACACAGAAGAGCACAGCAUCAUUUCUGCCUUCGUCCUGCCCAAACCGUAUAACCUGAAUCUAAUCAUGUGGGAAACAGAAGCUGGAGUAUAUUCCACAAAGUAACUCACCAGAACUCUUCAAAAUGUCAUAGUCUUGAAAGACAAGGAAAGAUAAAUGGUUCCAAACUGAAGGGGGCUAGAGAGACAAAAUGCAACCCCUGAUCCCAGACUGGAUGCUGAACUUCUAAAGGACCUGCCCGGACCACUGACGGAAUCUGAAGGGGGCCUUGGGGAUUAGACGGUGGUAGUACGCCAAUUUCCUGAUUUGGAGUGGUUGUAGUACUGUAGUUACUGAGAUAAGUGCUACUGUUUAGGAAAUCCAAAAGGAAAUAUUAAGGAGUACUGAGGCAUCAUAUGUGCAACUUGCAUAUGAUUUAGAAAAAUAUACAUUUAAAUAGGGAGAAUACGGCAAAUAUGAUACAGUUUUAAAGUUGGGAUGUCUGGGUGAACAGUGUACAGGAGGUCUUUGCACUCUUCUUACAACUUUUCUGUAAAGGUUGAAAUUACUUCAAAAUGAAAAGAAAAAACACACUUCUUAUAGAAAUUAAAACCAUCGGUACUGGCCCAAGAAGAUAAACUGGUAAAUAGGACAGACUGAGAGUUCAGAAACUGAUUCGUGUAUUUAUGGGAAUUUAGUAUUUGCUACUCAUGAUACUGAAAGCAGGAGGGAAAUUAGAGACUGCUCAAAAAUGAUGUUGGGACUAUAGACUAAGCAUUCGGGAAAAAAUAAAACAUACUUCACCUAAAAUACACUAAUGUAAAUUCUAACUGAAUCAAGAAUUUAAUAGGAAAAAGUGUAACAUUAAAGGAAAAGUUGAGAGAUUAUUUUUAUACCCUUGUUUUGGAGGCCUUUUUUAGCGUACUUCUAAGGCCAAAAACUAUAAAAGAUUAAAAGAUAUUACUUCAUUAAAAAAACAAACUUCUGCAGGCAAAAGACACUAUAAACAUAGGUUAAAAAACAGAUUUAGAAAACUUUACAAUACAUGAUGGAUAAGAAUAUAAUUUAUCAGUGCAAGCAAACAUAAAAGCAUCAAUGGUUCCCCUGUAAUUAAAUACAAUGUUAAAGGGCUCUUCAACCAACAGGGAAUGAUUAACAUUCUAGAAGACAAAAUGGACAUUGAAAGUAAACUUGCAGUUUGCAACAUAAAAAAUACAAACAGUAAAAGAGGCUUAUAUUCACUAAAAACCAAAGAAGUGCAAAUUAAAACAAGGAGAUAUACUUCAUCACCAGAUUAGCAAAGCAUAUGGCAAAGGAGUGCCCCACUGUUGGCCAAGUACACACUGGUAUGACCUCUCUAGAAGGCAAUCUCACAGUAUGUACCAAAAAUUAAAAUGGGGGGGGGGGGGCGCCGGCCUGGUGGCACAGCGGUUAAG